RNAcentral lists this transfer RNA (70 nucleotides) under Littoraria sinensis. RNAcentral describes it as "tRNA-Asp". The record is from RNAcentral. Lineage: Eukaryota; Metazoa; Mollusca; Gastropoda; Littorinimorpha; Littorinidae.
GAGAAAUUAGUUAAAUUAUAACAUAAGAUUGUCAGUCUUAAAUUACUAAUAUAAACUUUAGUAUUUCUCA